Molecule: long non-coding RNA, 1200 nt
Filed under: Anas platyrhynchos platyrhynchos (common mallard)
Lineage: Eukaryota; Metazoa; Chordata; Aves; Anseriformes; Anatidae
Description: lncRNA (ENSAPLG00000029475.1)
Source: RNAcentral
AUUUUCUUCCACAGAGAAGGGUCAGAGAGUCACUAGUACAACCCCAUGUUCAAAUUAUGACCUGAGCGACAUGAAUUCAGCUGUGUUCAUUGUUUAAUGUCUUUUCUGAAAUGUCUCUUUGGUCCUAAAAAAAUAGUUAAGGUCACUUUUUUUUUUUUUUUUUUCCCCCUUACUAAACUCAGUAUCUCAGAUAUUGCAUGGGUUUAUAUAAGUACAAAUGAAUACAUGGAAGACAAGUCUCUUUGAACUGAAGGCAUUGUUUACAGUCACCCUCUCUUUCCUCUCUUUUAGGAAGAAUCAAAAAUGAAAAAGAAACUCUGCAGAAGGAGCUGCAUAGUUGGGGGGCUAAAAAUUAAUGUGCUUUACUUAAAACUUAAUGCAAUUAUUCUGCUCUCCUGCAAUUCUAUAUGUAACAAUAUGUUAGUGGGUGCAAUUUUCACUGUACAAAUCAGAUUAUCUUUCAGUAGUGGGAUAAGUAAUCAUUCUCUGCUAUAAUGUUAUUCCAGUAUUGCUUAGAUCCUAUAGUUCUUAUAUUAAGGAAGAACAUUGUGGCUUUAUCUCAGAAGAAGACAUUUAUUUCCAAAUGUAAUAUCGGGGGGAGGGGGGGAGGGGGCGGGGACAGGGACGGGGAGGGGGGGAUGGGAUGGACCAAAAAAUAGCUAUUAUAUUUAAACAUCUAACUUAGUCUUUCUGUAGAAGUUCCAGUCCUGUAACAGUGUUAGAGUUUGUAACAGCUCAAAUGUAAUCCAGAAGCCUUUUAAAAAUCUAAACUACAGGAUGCUGGAAAAUGAAAAUAUCUAAUGCUGGUAAUGAAAAUAUCACUGAUGCUGGUAAUGAAAAUAUCUAAUGGAAGAAGGAAGGAAGGAAGGAAGGAAGGAAGGAAGGAAGGAAGGAAGGAAGGAAGGAAGGAAGGAAGGAAAGAACAACAACAAAAAACACCUUGAAUCAUUCAUUCCAGGAAGCCAUUACUGCUGCCUUAAAAUAUGCAGGAAAAUUUACCCUUUCAAAACUGCAAUAUCUGCACUACUGCUGAAGUGGUACUCUGUACCACACUCUUGAUACCUAUCUGUAGGUGUCUAAAGGCAGGUAUCCACACAGCAGCCAAAACCCAGGAGAUCUUGUCAAUACAGGAAAUAUAGCUGAGAAGGGAGACAUCUGGCUAAAAAUAAAUGUCUCUUUUAAGAAUGAACUGGAUAGCUC